AGGAGGGGGGAGUCUGUAGUCUGGGAGAAGAAAGUAGGAAACAAGCAAUAGGAGGAGAUGGCAGCAAGGAAAUGGGAGCGGUUUAUAAACGGAAGGAGUAAGCAACAACUGUUGGGAAGGGACCUUGGACCUUCAUGACAACUCCAAUGAAUCUCCAGAUUUAACAGCUACAGCAUC
Molecule: long non-coding RNA, 177 nt
Filed under: Coturnix japonica (Japanese quail)
Lineage: Eukaryota; Metazoa; Chordata; Aves; Galliformes; Phasianidae
Description: lncRNA (ENSCJPG00005018618.1)
Source: RNAcentral